Molecule: long non-coding RNA, 199 nt
Filed under: Prunus persica (peach)
Lineage: Eukaryota; Viridiplantae; Streptophyta; Magnoliopsida; Rosales; Rosaceae
Description: long non-coding RNA (PPER_LNC006513)
Source: RNAcentral
AAAUGAGGACUAAACAAGGGGUUGUAAACUUAACCAUCCUUUUUUCUUGAAUUCACUUCACUUGUUCUACUAAAAAUUUCAGACGAUGUGCGAUUUAUAUAGAGAGUCAAAAUAUAUAGUCAUAAAUAUAUAAUUACGUUCAAAAUAUAUAUGGUAUUUUUAGGGAAUUAAUUGACCUUAAUUAUUUUGUAAAUGCUAC